Molecule: RNA transcript, 1275 nt
Organism: Brassica rapa (field mustard)
Lineage: Eukaryota; Viridiplantae; Streptophyta; Magnoliopsida; Brassicales; Brassicaceae
Gene name: histidine-containing phosphotransfer protein 5
Source: RefSeq, a predicted model, not a curated record
GUGCCAGUGCGGUGCCACCGUCAAAUUGCAGCAUUUCCCUAAUCUCACGUAAUUAGUUGAGUUAAUCAAUUACUAGUAGUAAUAAAUAAAUGAAUAAAAUGAUAAAGUUAAAGUUAUCUAUCUGGUCUGGUCAGUUAAUGACUGCAAAAUCUUUUGCAAGUAAAGAAACAGUCAACGGAAGGUGGUAAUAAGCUUUGAGGCUCCUCCGAUCAGAUUUGUCUGUGUGUCUCUGCAAAUCCCAAAGUUAUGUCCUCGCUUCUUGAGAGUUGAUCUGUCUCGUAGCGCAAAAUCUCUGUCUCAGAUCGAUCUGAGCUUUUCUUUUGGACUCCACUGCCCAUUUUUGUUUCUCUGGCUUCUACACCUUUUGUGUUGUAUUUUCUAGUUGGUUUUAUUCUGACGAUGAUGAAGGUAUAAGUGUGUAUUUGAAUAGAGAGCUCCACGCCAUGAACACCGUCGUUGCUAAGUUGCAGAGACAGUUUCAAGACUACCUCGUUUCUCUUUAUCAACAGGGAUUUCUGGAUAAUCAGUUCACUGAGUUGAGAAAGUUGCAAGAUGAAGGCACUCCUGAUUUUGUAGCUGAGGUUGUCUCUCUUUUCUUUGACGACUGUUCCAAGCUUAUUAAUAGCAUGUCUAGAUCACUGGAGAGGCCAGAAAAUGUGGAUUUCAAACAGGUUGAUUCAGGGGUGCAUCAACUCAAGGGUAGUAGCUCAAGUGUUGGUGCAAGGAGGGUAAAAAAUGUGUGUAUAUCUUUCAAGGAAUGUUGUGAUGUUCAGAACCGUGAAGGGUGAGUGCUGUCCAAAACAAGUUGCCACCUUUUUCUCCAGUGUGUUUAAGGUGUCUGCAGCAGGUGGAUUAUGAAUAUAAGAUGCUAAAGACCAAACUUCAGGAUCUCUUCAAUCUAGAGAAACAGAUCGUCCAAGCCGGAGGUGCGAUUCCUCAGGUGAAUAUAAAUUAGACUGAUGGUCUUCUUGAUUUUGCUGAAUGCUCAAAAUACAUGAUGAAACGGAUAUUCCUAGGUAGUAUUUAUUGUUGUUGUUGCUGUUGUAAUGUUCUAUAUUUGAUUGGUGUGGUUCAUCAAAGCAUUUUCCUAGUUACACUAUUCUUCGUCCUGACAUCCGCCCUUGUCUAGACGCUUGAUUGUGUUGUAACAGUACAAGUGAAGUAUAAGUUUAUAACUAGACAUGUCCUAAUGUUCUAGUAAUGAAAAUCUGGUUUAUGUGUGUAUUAAUCAACAAUGAUUUUGUCUAAGCAAUGAAUACUGCACCAGUUCUGUUA